GAUGAACGCUGGCGGCGUGCUUAACACAUGCAAGUCGAACGAAGAUGCCGGAGUGCUUGCACUUUGGCAGACUGAGUGGCGGACGGGUGAGUAACGCGUGGGUAACCUGCCUUAUACAGGGGGAUAACAGUUGGAAACGACUGCUAAUACCGCAUAAGCGCACGGUAUCGCAUGAUACAGUGUGAAAAACUCCGGUGGUAUAAGAUGGACCCGCGUCUGAUUAGCCAGUUGGCGGGGUAACGGCCCACCAAAGCGACGAUCAGUAGCCGGCCUGAGAGGGUGAACGGCCACAUUGGGACUGAGACACGGCCCAAACUCCUACGGGAGGCAGCAGUGGGGAAUAUUGCACAAUGGGGGAAACCCUGAUGCAGCGACGCCGCGUGAGUGAAGAAGUAUUUCGGUAUGUAAAGCUCUAUCAGCAGGGAAGAAAGUGACGGUACCUGAAUAAGAAGCCCCGGCUAACUACGUG
This 469-nucleotide ribosomal RNA is filed under the name uncultured bacterium. RNAcentral describes it as "bacterial SSU rRNA". It matches the Rfam family "Bacterial small subunit ribosomal RNA", at positions 28 to 507 of the family's 1533-position model. The record is from RNAcentral.